ACGAACCUCUGGUGUGCCAGUUGUUCCACCAGGAGCAUCGCUGGUUAGCUACGUUCGGAAGGGAUAACCGCUGAAAGCAUCUAAGCGGGAAGCCUGUUCCAAGAUGAGGUUUCUCACCACCUUGCGUGGUUAAGGCCCCCCACAGACCAUGGGGUUGAUAGGCCGGAACUGGAAGCGCAGCAAUGCGUGGAGGUGACCGGUACUAAUCGGCCGAGGACUUACACAC
RNAcentral lists this ribosomal RNA (226 nucleotides) under Candidatus Dietzia merdigallinarum. RNAcentral describes it as "partial 23S ribosomal RNA". It matches the Rfam family "Bacterial large subunit ribosomal RNA", at positions 2701 to 2925 of the family's 2925-position model. Lineage: Bacteria; Bacillati; Actinomycetota; Actinomycetes; Mycobacteriales; Dietziaceae. The record is from RNAcentral.